GUGGCUGAAAAUGGAUGCGGUGCAGUGGACAGCAAGAGUUCGGGGGGCGAACCCCAUUUCCAGGGGUCUCCCUCAGGGUGCUCGCCUGGAAUUGGGAUGCAUGGUCAAUCCCACUCUACAGCAUCCCAAGGUCUGGGUCCCUGAAUUAGACCAAAUCUCAGGGACAUUUCUGCUCUUCUGACUCAAUGACCAACCUCAAUGGGUGGGUCAGACUGUGGUGAGAGGACCAAAGGGGGAGCCUGUCCUGGAAACAGUCGGGUGACUGGAACAUUUAGGCUCCCUUCUGCCCACCUAGGAAGCCAUCCCCAGUAGAUACAUGAAACAGGUUCUGGUGGGCUCUUCCAUGUAGUGGAGGAGGCAGGGGUGCGGGAAGAGGAGGAAACUGGAACUGGAGGUCUUAGCCUAAGGAUCUCCUUCCUGUUUGUAGGGAAGCGACUGUCUCAGAAAGCUGUUGGGGGAGAGGAGGGAGGCCAUGGUGACUUCCCGGAGGAAGGCCCACCCUCCCUGUGCCCAAAUGGGGUUCUCCAGUCCUGGCUUAAAAUAGUGCAACUCUGCCAUUGAUGCUGGACCCAGCCGGGACCUAGAAGGUUUGCAACCAUGGUUUGUGAUGCCAGUAGGAACGGUGGGUACGUGUGAGGGUCUACCCAGCUACCCAGUUGAAAUCAGACUGUGCCCUGUGGCCACAAGGACAAACAAACAAACAAACAAACCAACCUUUGGAUGCAAGUUUCAGCUCUUGCACUGAUCAGCUUUGAGACUCUGGUCUGGUGCCUGCCUGGCUUUCAACCAAAAUGAAGACAGUGGCUUGGCACGGUCUGGUGCCUUUCAACCAAAUGAAGACAAGAGCCUUGCCAGACAUAAAGUGGGUGCACAG
RNAcentral lists this long non-coding RNA (874 nucleotides) under Mus pahari (shrew mouse). Its description in RNAcentral is "nuclear receptor subfamily 5, group A, member 1, opposite strand (MGP_PahariEiJ_G0003275.1)". Lineage: Eukaryota; Metazoa; Chordata; Mammalia; Rodentia; Muridae. The record is from RNAcentral.